This is a non-coding RNA of Plutella xylostella (diamondback moth), 326 nucleotides long. NCBI's taxonomy places the organism in Eukaryota, Metazoa, Arthropoda, Insecta, Lepidoptera, Plutellidae. The record is from RefSeq and is a predicted model, not a curated record.
CGGGGUCCAAGGUCCACGCUACUACUCCAAGGUCCACGCUUACGUCCACGGUACGGCUUACCGGCUCCACGGUACGGUUUACCGACUCCGCGGUUCACCUACGUGGCUUCUACGGCUCGCCCUCUACGUGCUGGUUCGGCAACCCCCUACCUUCGUGUUGCUGACCACGCCGCGCAGCCGAGCUACACGCCACGCGCACGCAACGGCCACGUGACCUGCCUGCCUACCUACCUGGGCACUGGAGAAGAGGACUUCCACGCCGGUCGCGUUAUCGGGAUUCCACGCCGAUACUCUUCGACUCAGGGGAGUCCCUAUCCGUGCCAACU